AGAUCAUGCUGGGGAAAACCCACAGAAACACCUGAUCUGUGCAAGCAUAUGCCACUAUGUCUACAUGAUCCAAAGUUGAAGAUCAGUCUUAAGGCUGUACGUAUACAAGGCAAAUGGAUGGCACUAGAAAAAACCAUCAGAGUGAGGUAACCCAGUCACAAAAAUAGAAACAUGAGCCUUCAUCCAAUGAUUGAUGGAAGCAGAGGCAGAUACCUACAGCUAAAUACUGAACUGAGCUCCUAGAACCCAGUUGUAAGAGGGACGAGUAAUGAGCAAUGGAGUCAUGACUGGGCUGGUGAAACCCACAGAAACAGCUGACCUGAACAAGGGGGAGCUCAGGAACCCCAGACUGAUGGCUGAGAGGCCAGUAUGUGACUGAUCAAGACCCCUUGAAUGUGGGUGUCAGUGAGGAGGCCUUGAAAAUAUAUGGGGCCACAAGUAGUAGACCAGUAGUUAUCCCUGGCACACAAAUGUAGUUUGGGAGCCCAUUCCACAUUAAGGGAUGCUCUCUCAGUCUGAACUGAUGGGGGAGGGCCUAGGCCCUGCCUGAUAUAUUUGACAGAUUUUGGAGAUCCCCCAUGGAGGGCCUCACCCUCCCUGGGGAGCAGAGGGGGAAUGGGAUGAGGGCUUGCAGGGCUUGGUUGGGGUGAGGAGGAGGGGAGUGAGAGGAAGCUGAGAUUGACAUGUGAAGCAAGCUUGUGACUAAUUAAAAAAAGUGUUUGAUAUCCCCAGCAACCACCAGUUAAUUAUCAUUGAAAUAUCAAAGAAAAAAAUAAAACCAAAAUUAUAAGGAAUACAAAUUGCUCCAUUAAUGUGAAUAACACACCAUUAUUUUGAAGUAAUAUUAUCACAUUAAUGUUUGAAGAAAACACAAUUCCAUUGUGGGAUCACACAUCACGCCUCAUAGUGAGGACACAAAACAUAAAAGUUCAUGAUGAAGAGUAAUUUACAGUAUGAGAAGACAUUUAAUUAGGUAGACUUUUUAGAAAACUCAAAGACAUAGCAGAGGAAAAAAAUGCUGGAAUCUAAAAAUCAGUGACUAACUUAAGAAAUCAAUAAAGAAUCAUUUAUGUAAAGAAAUAUGCUUGGAAUGACACAUUUGAUCUCAUUUGGAAGUAACAAUAAACUGAAUUUUUUCAACCACAAAUUUAUCGAAUAAGAAAAUAUCAUUUCUCUGUGUGUUAAAAAAGAGCAUUUAAUUAAUUGUAUAUCAAUAUUACUAAACUAAAAAAUUUAUUCUUUGUUAUAGACUUGUAAUAUUAGCUCCAGGCCAGCAGGGACUGCAGAGAGUGACCCUGCCUUAAUUAAGAACAAAUGUUAUUCUUACAGUUUUAAACAAGUUUAAAGAUACAUUUAAAUACAUAAUACAAAUUAAUUUGGUUGGGUAGUUCAAAUUCAAAUUUUAGACAAGUUGUAUUUAUGUGUUUAAAUCUUUUAUGCAUAUUACUAUUAAACAUGAAAAUAUGA
Non-coding RNA from Cricetulus griseus (Chinese hamster), 1467 nucleotides. The record is from RefSeq and is a predicted model, not a curated record. Lineage: Eukaryota; Metazoa; Chordata; Mammalia; Rodentia; Cricetidae.